CUGGCUCAGGACGAACGCUGGCGGCGUGCUUAACACAUGCAAGUCGAACGGAAAGGCCCUUCGGGGUACUCGAGUGGCGAACGGGUGAGUAACACGUGGGUGAUCUGCCCUGCACUUUGGGAUAAGCCUGGGAAACUGGGUCUAAUACCGAAUAUGACCACGCUCUUCAUGGGGUGUGGUGGAAAGCUUUUGCGGUGUGGGAUGGGCCCGCGGCCUAUCAGCUUGUUGGUGGGGUAAUGGCCUACCAAGGCGACGACGGGUAGCCGGCCUGAGAGGGUGACCGGCCACACUGGGACUGAGAUACGGCCCAGACUCCUACGGGAGGCAGCAGUGGGGAAUAUUGCACAAUGGGCGCAAGCCUGAUGCAGCGACGCCGCGUGAGGGAUGACGGCCUUCGGGUUGUAAACCUCUUUCAAUAGGGACGAAGCGCAAGUGACGGUACCUAUAGAAGAAGCACCGGCCAACUACGUGCCAGCAGCCGCGGUAAUACGUAGGGUGCGAGCGUUGUCCGGAAUUACUGGGCGU
RNAcentral lists this ribosomal RNA (525 nucleotides) under Mycobacterium sp. S3.CEL.015. Its description in RNAcentral is "bacterial SSU rRNA". It matches the Rfam family "Bacterial small subunit ribosomal RNA", at positions 19 to 561 of the family's 1533-position model. Lineage: Bacteria; Bacillati; Actinomycetota; Actinomycetes; Mycobacteriales; Mycobacteriaceae. The record is from RNAcentral.